Molecule: ribosomal RNA, 253 nt
Filed under: Roseburia faecis M72/1
Lineage: Bacteria; Bacillati; Bacillota; Clostridia; Lachnospirales; Lachnospiraceae
Description: partial 16S ribosomal RNA
Rfam family: Bacterial small subunit ribosomal RNA
Source: RNAcentral
UACGUAUGGUGCAAGCGUUAUCCGGAUUUACUGGGUGUAAAGGGAGCGCAGGCGGUGCGGCAAGUCUGAUGUGAAAGCCCGGGGCUCAACCCCGGUAUUGCAUUGGAAACUGUCGUACUAGAGUGUCGGAGGGGUAAGCGGAAUUCCUAGUGUAGCGGUGAAAUGCGUAGAUAUUAGGAGGAACACCAGUGGCGAAGGCGGCUUACUGGACGAUAACUGACGCUGAGGCUCGAAAGCGUGGGGAGCAAACAGG